AUUGAACGCUGGCGGCAUGCCUUACACAUGCAAGUCGAACGGCAGCACGGGAGCAAUCCUGGUGGCGAGUGGCGAACGGGUGAGUAAUAUAUCGGAAAGUGCCUAGUCGUGGGGGACAACGCAGCGACAGCUGUGCUAAUACCGCAUACGAUCUAAGGAUGAAAGCGGGGGAUAGUAAGACCUAGCCCGAUUGGAGGGGCCGAUAUCAGAUUAUCUAGUUGGUGGGGUAAAGGCCCACCAAGGCGACGAUCUGUAGCCGGUCUGAGAGGACGACCAGCCACACUGGAACUGAGACACGUUCCAGACUCCUACGGGAGGCAGCAGUGGGGAAUUUUGGACAAUGGGCGCAAGCCUGAUCCAGCAAUGCCGCGUGCAGGAUGAAGGCCUUCGGGUUGUAAACUGCUUUUAUACGGAACGAAACGGCCCUUUCUAAUACAGGGGGCUAAUGACGGUACCGUAAGAAUAAGCACCGGCUAACUACGUGCCAGCCGCCGCCGUAA
Molecule: ribosomal RNA, 500 nt
Filed under: uncultured bacterium
Lineage: Bacteria
Description: partial 16S ribosomal RNA
Rfam family: Bacterial small subunit ribosomal RNA
Source: RNAcentral